This 1047-nucleotide ribosomal RNA is filed under the name uncultured bacterium. Its description in RNAcentral is "bacterial SSU rRNA". It matches the Rfam family "Bacterial small subunit ribosomal RNA", at positions 8 to 1064 of the family's 1533-position model. The record is from RNAcentral.
AGAGUUUGAUCCUGGCUCAGAAUGAACGCUAGCGGCGUACCUAAUACAUGCAAGUCGUACGAAGAUAUUUAUAUCUUAGUGGCGAACGGGUGAGUAAUGCGUGCUUAAUCUACCUUUAGGAUAGGAAUAACUAGUGGAAACAUUAGCUAAUACCUAAUAUGUGUUAUUGAUACUUUCGAUAAUAUAAAAGGGGCGUUGCCCCACCUUUAAAUGAGAGCACGUUGCAUUAGCUAGUUGGUAAGGUAAUGGCUUACCAAGGCAAUUAUGCAUAGCUGGUCUAAGAGGAUGUACAGCCACAUUGGGACUGAGAUACGGCCCAAACUCCUACGGGAGGCAGCAGUAGGGAAUUUUCCGCAAUGGACGAAAGUCUGACGGAGUGACGUCGCGUGUUUGAUGAAGGUCUUCGGAUUGUAAAAAACUGUGGUGUAACAUGAAAUAUAUCCUAGGAAAUGAGGAUAUCUUGACAGUAUUACAUUAGAAAGUCAUGGCUAACUACGUGCCAGCAGCCGCGGUAAUACGUAGAUGGCAAGCGUUAUUCGGAUUCAUUGGGCGUAAAGUGUGUGUAGAUGAUAUAUUAAGUCAAAAAUUAAAGGCAUAAGCUUAACUUAUUGUUUAUUUUUGAAACUAAUAUAUUAGAGUGUGAUAGAGAUUAACGGAACUCCAUAUGUAGCGGUGGAAUGCGUAGAUAUAUGGAAGAACAUCAACGGCGAAGGCAGUUAAUCAGGUCACUACUGACAUUGAGACACGAAAGCGUGGGGAGCAAAUAGGAUUAGAUACCCUAGUAGUCCACGCUGUAAACGAUGAGUAUUGAAUGUAAGUUUUAAAACUUGUAUUGAAGCUAACGCGUUAAAUACUCCGCCUGGAUAGUAUGCUCGCAAGAGUGAAACUCAAAGGAAUUGACGGGGACCCGCACAAGCGGUGGAGCAUGUGGUUUAAUUCGACGCUACGCGAAGAACCUUACCAAGGUUUGACAUCCCUUGCAAAGCUAUAGAAAUAUAGUGGAGGUUAUCAAGGUGACAGGUGGUGCAUGGCUGUCGUCAGCUCGUG